Molecule: ribosomal RNA, 483 nt
Filed under: Triticum aestivum (bread wheat)
Lineage: Eukaryota; Viridiplantae; Streptophyta; Magnoliopsida; Poales; Poaceae
Description: partial small subunit ribosomal RNA
Source: RNAcentral
AUGAACCCCUCCUCGGCUCCGUGGCCGGAUGGCCUUCCCGUAACGUUCUUCAAAACGUUCUGGCAGACCAUCAAGCCAAAGGUCAUGGCCCUGUUUGAGGAAUUCUACUUGGGCUCCAUGGAUCUUGGGCGCCUUAACUAUGGGAUCGUUACCCUCAUCCCCAAGGUCCCGGGCGCAUCCGAUAUCUGCCAGUUCUGUCCCAUCACAGUGAUUAAUGUGAUAUUCCGGAUCCUGGCCAAAGGGUACGCCAAUAGAGUGACUCUGCUCGCUGACGCGAUUACCCACCCGAACCAAUCUGCCUUUGUACAAGGACGAUUUAUUCUGGAUGGGGUGUUGGUAUCCAUGAAGUCCUCCACGAAGUCCGGGUGAAACACCAUCGAGCAGUCUUCUUGAAGCUAGACUUCCACAAAGCGUAUGACACUGUCAAUUGGCCCUUCUUGCGGGAAAUGCUGCUCCGAAAGGGCUUUAACGACCGUUGGGUGA